AGGAAGCGCUGGGGGGCAGAGGAGCGGAGUUAAGGCAGAAGCCAGUCAGGAUGGUGGUGCCUUCGCUGAAGCUUCAGGACCUCAUCGAAGAGAUUCGCGGGGCCAAGACUCAGGCCCAGGAGCGGGAGGUGAUCCAAAAGGAGUGUGCCCACAUCCGGGCCUCCUUCCGCGACGGGGACCCAGUGCACAGGCACCGGCAGCUGGCCAAACUGCUCUACGUCCACAUGUUGGGCUACCCCGCCCACUUUGGACAGUGACCUGAGCCAGGGGAUUCAGCCAGUACAAGGCCUGGCCUUGUGCACUUUGAGCACCAUGGGCUCUGCUGAGAUGUGCCGAGACCUGGCCCCAGAAGUGGAGAAACUGCUCCUGCAGCCCAGUCCCUACGUGCGCAAGAAGGCUAUUCUGACUGCAGUGCACAUGAUCCGGAAGGUCCCUGAACUCUCCAGUGUCUUCCUCCCACCCUGUGCUCAACUGCUUCAUGAGCGUCACCAUGGUAAGGCUGUGGGGCUCCCCAUCCUUUGCUUCAGCUCUAUGGACAGAAGAAUUGAAAAUCGGAUGGGAACCCCAGCUCACAGGAGAAGGGUAGUGCACACACACAGGCACACACGCAAUAGACUCUCUUGCCCCUGGCCCCCACCAUUCACUUCCCCGACCCUGACCCCAGGCAUCCUGCUGGGCACCAUCACGCUGAUCACGGAGCUCUGCGAACGAAGCCCUGCAGCCCUCAGGCACUUCCGAAAGGUGGGCUGGUAAAGGGGCAGGCCCUGGGCCUGGAAGAGAGGGUCAGUGGGGAAGGAAUGGGGCUUUAGCUGGAGAGGAUUAGAACAAAUGCCCAAAGUUGUGCCCUCCCUCCAGGUGGUACCCCAGCUGGUACAGAUCCUCCGGACUCUGGUGACAACGGGAUACUCCACAGAACACAGCAUAUCUGGAGUCAGCGACCCCUUCCUGCAGGUGGGGUGACCUUUCACUGCUGUAUCCCUGGAUCAGAGAGGGCAUAGCAGUAA
This 1004-nucleotide small RNA is filed under the name Pongo abelii (Sumatran orangutan). RNAcentral's name for it is "retained intron". Lineage: Eukaryota; Metazoa; Chordata; Mammalia; Primates; Hominidae. The record is from RNAcentral.